GACGAACGCUGGCGGCGUGCCUAACACAUGCAAGUCGAGCGGAGAACGACGAGCAGCUUGCUGCAAGUUGUCUUAGCGGCGGACGGGUGAGUAACGCGUGGGCAAUCUGCCUCAAACAGGGGGAUAACACAGGGAAACUUGUGCUAAUACCGCAUAAAACCACAACAUGGCAUCAUGAAGUGGUCAAAGGAAGAAAUUCCGGUUGAGAUGAGCCCGCGUCUGAUUAGCUAGUUGGUGAGGUAACGGCUCACCAAGGCGACGAUCAGUAGCCGAACUGAGAGGUUGAUCGGCCACAUUGGGACUGAGACACGGCCCAGACUCCUACGGGAGGCAGCAGUGGGGAAUAUUGCACAAUGGGGGAAACCCUGAUGCAGCGACGCCGCGUGAAGGAAGAAGGCCUUCGGGUUGUAAACUUCUUUGACCAGGGACGAAAAAAUGACGGUACCUGGAGAACAAGCCACGGCUAACUACGUG
This 474-nucleotide ribosomal RNA is filed under the name uncultured bacterium. RNAcentral's name for it is "bacterial SSU rRNA". It matches the Rfam family "Bacterial small subunit ribosomal RNA", at positions 28 to 507 of the family's 1533-position model. The record is from RNAcentral.